Molecule: unclassified non-coding RNA, 274 nt
Organism: Sphenodon punctatus (tuatara)
Lineage: Eukaryota; Metazoa; Chordata; Lepidosauria; Sphenodontia; Sphenodontidae
Rfam family: Metazoan signal recognition particle RNA
About the family: The signal recognition particle (SRP) is a universally conserved ribonucleoprotein.
Source: Ensembl
GAUGGGUACAAGUGGCUUGUACCUGUAAUCCCAGCUCCUUGGGAGGCUGAGACUGUAGAAACAUAUGAGCUUGGGGGUUCUGGCCUACAGUGUGCCAUGCUGAUCAGGUGUGCAUACUAAGGUCAGCAUCAAUAUGGUGGCCUGUAGGUUAGCAGGUUGUUUAAGAAGGGAUGAAAUGGAGGAGGUCAAAGCUCCUGUGCUGAGAGGUAGUGGGAUUGCACCUGUGAUUGGUUCCUGUAGCCCAGCCUGGGCAAGAGAGUGAGACGCAGUCUCU